UGCCCCCACAGCCCUGUUAGGAAUAGGAGGAGAACCUCGUCCCAACCUGAGCUGAAAUUGACUACAUCAGGGAUAGGAGGGGAACCUCGUCCUGAUGCCAACUAAGAUCCGAUCAUUCAGGAUCUGAUAAGAAAAAAGAGAACCUUCUCGAUGGCCCCUCUACGCUCCCACGACCCUGUAAAAAGUUGGGGAGAACCCUUACUUAAAAAAAGGAGGG
This 217-nucleotide long non-coding RNA is filed under the name Elaeis guineensis (African oil palm). RNAcentral's name for it is "long non-coding RNA (EGUI_LNC052540)". The record is from RNAcentral. Lineage: Eukaryota; Viridiplantae; Streptophyta; Magnoliopsida; Arecales; Arecaceae.